UACGAAGGGGGGCUAGCGUUGCUCGGAAUUACUGGGCGUAAAGCGCACGUAGGCGGAUUGUUAAGUCAGGGGUGAAAUCCUGGAGCUCAACUCCAGAACUGCCUUUGAUACUGAGGAUCUUGAGUUCGGGAGAGGUGAGUGGAACUGCGAGUGUAGAGGUGAAAUUCGUAGAUAUUCGCAAGAACACCAGUGGCGAAGGCGGCUCACUGGCCCGAUACUGACGCUGAGGCACGAAAGCGUGGGGAGCAAACAGG
Molecule: ribosomal RNA, 254 nt
Filed under: uncultured bacterium
Lineage: Bacteria
Description: partial 16S ribosomal RNA
Rfam family: Bacterial small subunit ribosomal RNA
Source: RNAcentral